This 334-nucleotide unclassified non-coding RNA is filed under the name soil metagenome. RNAcentral's name for it is "partial contains 5.8S ribosomal RNA, internal transcribed spacer 2, and large subunit ribosomal RNA". The stretch from base 1 to 120 matches the Rfam family "5.8S ribosomal RNA", at positions 35 to 154 of the family's 154-position model. The record is from RNAcentral.
GAUGAAGAACGCAGCGAAAUGCGAUAAGUAAUGUGAAUUGCAGAAUUCCGUGAAUCAUCGAAUCUUUGAACGCACAUUGCGCCCGCCAGUAUUCUGGCGGGCAUGCCUGUUCGAGCGUCAUUUCAACCAUCAAGCCCUGCUUGCGUUGGGGUCCUGCGGCUGCCCGCAGGCCCUGAAAACCAGUGGCGGGCUCGCUAGUCACACCGAGCGCAGUAAUACAUCUCGCUUUGGGCGUGCGGCGGGUUCUUGCCGUUAAACACCCCCUUUUUACCAAGGUUGACCUCGGAUCAGGUAGGAAUACCCGCUGAACUUAAGCAUAUCAAUAAGCGGAGGA